RNAcentral lists this ribosomal RNA (408 nucleotides) under uncultured bacterium. Its description in RNAcentral is "partial 16S ribosomal RNA". It matches the Rfam family "Bacterial small subunit ribosomal RNA", at positions 28 to 526 of the family's 1533-position model. The record is from RNAcentral.
GACGAAUGCUGGCGGCGUGCUUAACACAUGCAAGUCGAACGAAGUGGCGAACGGGUGAGUAACGCGUAAUCAACCUGCCCUUCAGAGGGGGACAACAGUUGGAAACGACUGCUAAUACCGCAUACUGAAGGAGGGGAUUGCGUCUGAUUAGCUAGUUGGAGGGGUAACGGCCCACCAAGGCGAUGAUCAGUAGCCGGGCUGAGAGGAUGAACGGCCACAUUGGGACGGAGACACGGCCCAGACUCCUACGGGAGGCAGCAGUGGGGAAUAUUGCACAAUGGGCGCAAGCCUGAUGCAGCCAUGCCGCGUGUAUGAAGAAGGCCCUAGGGUUGUAAAGCUCUGUUAAUCGGGACGCGGUACCGGAAUAGAAAGCCACGGCUAACUACGUGCCAGCCGCCGCGGUAAUAC